Echinops telfairi (small Madagascar hedgehog) is the source of this 968-nucleotide long non-coding RNA. RefSeq lists it as uncharacterized. NCBI's taxonomy places the organism in Eukaryota, Metazoa, Chordata, Mammalia, Afrosoricida, Tenrecidae. The record is from RefSeq and is a predicted model, not a curated record. The transcript is spliced from 3 exons.
GGUCCAUCCCAACCUUGACCCAGAAUGUGGCUGUAUGCAUGCCAACAAACCUCAGCCUCAGUUUCCCUCCUUCUCUGACAUCAGGUUGUAGAGCAUCCAGUGCUGAACAGUGGAAAGCCCACUUCAGACCUGCUGUUCAAAGCCUCAGCACCUCCCCUGGGAUUCACCUUCUACUUGAUAACACCUGUCCCUGCGAAGAAGCCCCAGGCUGGACCCACCAGGUGCAGGCUACAGACGUCACAGCGUUCUGCCCUGGUCAUUGAAAAUGAGCACAUGCGGGUGGUAUUUGACAAACACACGGGGAUCUUAAAGGAGAUUGAGAACCGAGACCAGAAGCUUCUGUUACGGGUCCAGCAGACGUUCUUCUGGUACAAUGCCAGCAGGAACUCGGGAGCCUAUGUCUUUGCACCUGAACAGUUGAAUCCACUGCCCAUGAGUUUCUCACCUGACAUACAACUGGUGAAGGUUUGGAGGGGCAAUGAUGUGGGUGUCAGAAAGGAGUGUGCUAGAAGGGAUACUACCUGUGUGGGUGGGAAGGUUUGCUGGUUUAAGUUAUGUGGUGGUUCUUUGAAGGGUCAUCCUUGAUCUGUGGAAACUUAGCUACGGGGACAAGUAUCAGUGGCUUUCUCAUUUUGUGUAAGUGUAAAGAUUGUACCUUGCACUAGAAAUCAGAGAAUUCACAUUCAUAACCACAACUGCCUAUCUUAAUGAAACUAAAACUCAACCCACUGCCAUGAAGUCCAUUCUGCCUCACAGGGUGACCCGAUCGAGGGAUUGUAGACUGUACAUCUUCAGCGACACAGACAGCCUCAUCUUUCUCCUGUGAAUCAGCUGACUCUCCCAUCUGUGGGUCAUCCAUUAGCGUGUCCAGAAGAGUAUUAUGGUCUCAAGAUUGAGGAAAAUUAGACCUAUCCUAUCGGUUGGCUUUCAUCCCUUCUUCCCGUCCUUUUCUUAAUCUGGUUUCAAAG